RNAcentral lists this small nuclear RNA (18 nucleotides) under Arabidopsis thaliana (thale cress). Its description in RNAcentral is "snRNA_10496". The record is from RNAcentral. Lineage: Eukaryota; Viridiplantae; Streptophyta; Magnoliopsida; Brassicales; Brassicaceae.
AGUGAUGAGAUUUGAUCU